AGAGUUUGAUCCUGGCUCAGGAUGAACGCUGGCGGCGUGCCUAAUACAUGCAAGUCGAACGCUUCACUUCGGUGAAGAGUGGCGAACGGGUGAGUAAUACAUAAGUAACCUGGCCUUUACAGGGGGAUAACUAUUGGAAACGAUAGCUAAGACCGCAUAGGUGUGUCCAUCGCAUGAGGGACAUAUGAAAUAUGCUACGGCAUAGGUAGAGGAUGGACUUAUGGCGCAUUAGCUAGUUGGAGGGGUAACGGCCCACCAAGGCGACGAUACGUAGCCGACCUGAGAGGGUGACCGGCCACACUGGGACUGAGACACGGCCCAGACUCCUACGGGAGGCAGCAGUAGGGAAUUUUCGGCAAUGGGGGAAACCCUGACCGAGCAACGCCGCGUGAAGGAAGAAGUAAUUCGUUAUGUAAACUUCUGUCAUAGAGGAAGAAAGGUGCGUGUAGGGAAUGACAUGCAAGUGACGGUACUCUAUAAGAAAGCCACGGCUAACUACGUGCCAGCAGCCGCGGUAAUACGUAGGUGGCGAGCGUUAUCCGGAAUUAUUGGGCGUAAAGAGGGAGCAGGCGGCACUAAGGGUCUGUGGUGAAAGAUCGAAAGCUUUAACUUCGGUAAGCCAUGGAAACCGUAGAGCUAGAGUGUGUGAGAGGAUCGUGGAAUUCCAUGUGUAGCGGUGAAAUGCGUAGAUAUAUGGAGGAACACCAGUGGCGAAGGCGACGAUCUGGCGCAUAACUGACGCUCAGUCCCGAAAGCGUGGGGAGCAAAUAGGAUUAGAUAUCCUAGUAGUCCACACCGUA
RNAcentral lists this ribosomal RNA (800 nucleotides) under uncultured bacterium. Its description in RNAcentral is "bacterial SSU rRNA". It matches the Rfam family "Bacterial small subunit ribosomal RNA", at positions 8 to 804 of the family's 1533-position model. The record is from RNAcentral.